GACGUAGGGCGCGAGCGUUGUCCGGAUUUAUUGGGCGUAAAGAGCUAGUAGGCGGCUUGUCGCGUCGACCGUGAAAACUUGGGGCUCAACCCCAAGCCUGCGGUCGAUACGGGCAGGCUCGAGUUCGGUAGGGGAGACUGGAAUUCCUGGUGUAGCGGUGAAAUGCGUAGAUACCAGGAGGAACACCGGUGGCGAAGGCGGCUUCCUGGCCGAGUACUGACGCUGAGGCACGAAAGCGUGGGGAGCGAACGGG
Molecule: ribosomal RNA, 253 nt
Filed under: uncultured bacterium
Lineage: Bacteria
Description: partial 16S ribosomal RNA
Rfam family: Bacterial small subunit ribosomal RNA
Source: RNAcentral